AUGCCUGUAAGUUGUUGACGAACGCUACCUUGAUACGGUAGAGGUCAACGGUUCGAGUCCGUUCGGGCCUACCA
Molecule: transfer RNA, 74 nt
Filed under: Acidobacteriota bacterium
Lineage: Bacteria; Pseudomonadati; Acidobacteriota
Also listed under: 1 other name
Description: Acidobacteria bacterium tRNA-Ile
Rfam family: tRNA
About the family: Transfer RNA (tRNA) molecules are approximately 80 nucleotides in length. Their secondary structure includes four short double-helical elements and three loops (D, anti-codon, and T loops).
Source: RNAcentral